This 100-nucleotide microRNA precursor is filed under the name Marmota monax (woodchuck). The record is from RNAcentral. Lineage: Eukaryota; Metazoa; Chordata; Mammalia; Rodentia; Sciuridae.
AGUGGAAUAGCUGUGUCAAAUGGUUCCAUUCCAAGUUUUGUAAGGAAUCUCCAUACUGCUUUCCAAAGUGGUUGCACCAAUUUGCAGUCUCACCAGCAAU